This 641-nucleotide ribosomal RNA is filed under the name uncultured Candidatus Poseidoniales archaeon. Its description in RNAcentral is "bacterial SSU rRNA". It matches the Rfam family "Archaeal small subunit ribosomal RNA", at positions 281 to 923 of the family's 1478-position model. Lineage: Archaea; Methanobacteriati; Thermoplasmatota; Candidatus Poseidoniia; Candidatus Poseidoniales. The record is from RNAcentral.
AGACAUAGCCCGGAGAUGGAUUCUGAGACACGAAUCCAGACCCUACGGGGUGCAGCAGGCGCGAAAACUUGGCAAUGCGAGAAAUCGUGACCAGGGAACUCCAAGUGGCUGGGGUAAGACCCAGUCUUUUCUUGACUCUUCAAAGGUCUUGGAAUAAGAGGUGGGUAAGGACGGUGCCAGCCGCCGCGGUAAUACCGGCGCCUCAAGUGGUAGUCGAUUUUAUUGGGCCUAAAACGUCCGUAGCCUGUUUGGUACAUUCGUGGGUAAAUCAACCAGCUUAACUGGUUGAAUUCUGCGAGCACGGCCAGACUUGGGACCGGGAGAGGUGUGGGGUACGCUCAGGGUAGGGGUAAAAUCCUGUCAUCCUGAGCGGACCACCUGUUGCGAAGGCGCCACACUAGAACGGAUCCGACGGUCAGGGACGAAGCCUAGGGGCACGAACCGGAUUAGAUACCCGGGUAGUCCUAGGUGUAAACGCUGUGGACUUGGUGUUGGGGAUUCUCCGAGGAUCUUCAGUGCCGAAGCGAAGGUGAUAAGUCCACUGCCUGGGGAGUACGGUCGCAAGGCUGAAACUUAAAGGAAUUGGCGGGGGAGCACCGCAACCUGAGGAUUGUGCGGUUUAAUUGGACUCAACGCCGGGA